AUGGUUAAGUUAGAAAGGGCGCACGGUGAAUGCCUUGGCACUAGGAGCCGAUGAAGGACGGGACUAACACCGAUAUGCUUCGGGGAGCUGUAAGUGAGCUUUGAUCCGGAGAUUUCCGAAUGGGGAAACCCACUGUUCGUAAUGGAACAGUAUCUUUAUCUGAAUACAUAGGAUAUUGAAGGCAGACCCGGGGAACUGAAACAUCUAAGUACCCGGAGGAAGAGAAAGCAAAUGCGAUUUCCUGAGUAGCGGCGAGCGAAACGGAAUUAGCCCAAACCAAGAGGCUUGCCUCUUGGGGUUGUAGGACACUCUAUACGGAGUUACAAAGGAACGAAGUAAAUGAAGCGACCUGGAAAGGUCCGUCGAAGAAGGUAACAACCCUGUAGUUGAAACUUCGUUCCCUCUUGAGUGGAUCCUGAGUACGGCGGAACACGUGAAAUUCCGUCGGAAGCUGGGAGGACCAUCUCCCAAGGCUAAAUACUACCUAGUGACCGAUAGUGAACCAGUACCGUGAGGGAAAGGUGAAAAGCACCCCGGAAGGGGAGUGAAAGAGAUCCUGAAACCGUGUGCCUACAAGUAGUCAGAGCCCGUUAACGGGUGAUGGCGUGCCUUUUGUAGAAUGAACCGGCGAGUUACGAUCCCAUGCAAGGUUAAGCUGAUAAGGCGGAGCCGUAGCGAAAGCGAGUCUGAAUAGGGCGUUUAGUAUGUGGUUGUAGACCCGAAACCAGGUGAUCUACCCAUGUCCAGGGUGAAGUUCAGGUAACACUGAAUGGAGGCCCGAACCCACGCACGUUGAAAAGUGCGGGGAUGAGGUGUGGGUAGCGGAGAAAUUCCAAUCGAACCUGGAGAUAGCUGGUUCUCUCCGAAAUAGCUUUAGGGCUAGCCUCAUGUUGUGAGAGUCUUGGAGGUAGAGCACUGAUUGGACUAGGGGCCCCCAACGGGUUACCGAAUUCAGUCAAACUCCGAAUGCCAAAGACUUAUCCAUGGGAGUCAGACUGCGAGUGAUAAGAUCCGUAGUCAAAAGGGAAACAGCCCAGACCACCAGCUAAGGUCCCCAAGUAUACGUUAAGUGGAAAAGGAUGUGGAGUUGCUUAGACAACCAGGAUGUUGGCUUAGAAGCGUACCACCAUUUAAAGAGUGCGUAAUAGCUCACUGGUCGAGUGACUCUGCGCCGAAAAUGUACCGGGGCUAAACGUAUCACCGAAGCUGUGGAUUGACAUCUUUGAUGUCAGUGGUAGGAGAGCGUUCUAAGUGCUGUGAAGUCAGACCGUAAGGACUGGUGGAGCGCUUAGAAGUGAGAAUGCCGGUAUGAGUAGCGAAAGACAAGUGAGAAUCUUGUCCACCGAAUGCCUAAGGUUUCCUGAGGAAGGCUCGUCCGCUCAGGGUUAGUCGGGACCUAAGCCGAGGCUGAAAAGCGUAGGCGAUGGCCAACAGGUUGAUAUUCCUGUACCACCUCCCCGCCGUUUGAGUAAUGGGGGGACGCAGUAGGAUAGGGUAAGCGCGGCCGCUGGAUAUGCGCGUUCAAGCAGUUAGGCUGAUGAGUAGGCAAAUCCGCUCAUCAUAAAGGCUGAGCUGUGAUGACGAGGGAAUUAUAGUACCGAAGUUCCUGAUUCCACACUGCCAAGAAAAGCCUCUAGCGAGGCGGGAGGUGCCCGUACCGCAAACCGACACAGGUAGGCGAGGAGAGAAUCCUAAGGUGAUCGAGAGAACUCUCGUUAAGGAACUCGGCAAAAUGACCCCGUAACUUCGGGAGAAGGGGUGCUCUGGUAGGGUGUAUAGCCCGAGAGAGCCGCAGUGAAUAGGCCCAGGCGACUGUUUAGCAAAAACACAGGUCUCUGCGAAGCCGCAAGGCGAAGUAUAGGGGCUGACGCCUGCCCGGUGCUGGAAGGUUAAGAGGAGGGGUUAUCCUUUGGGAGAAGCUCUGAAUCGAAGCCCCAGUAAACGGCGGCCGUAACUAUAACGGUCCUAAGGUAGCGAAAUUCCUUGUCGGGUAAGUUCCGACCCGCACGAAAGGCGUAACGAUCUGGGCACUGUCUCAACGAGAGACUCGGUGAAAUUAUAGUACCUGUGAAGAUGCAGGUUACCCGCGACAGGACGGAAAGACCCCGUGGAGCUUUACUGUAGCCUGAUAUUGAAUUUUGGUACAGCUUGUACAGGAUAGGUAGGAGCCUGAGAAGCCGGAGCGCUAGCUUCGGUGGAGGCGUCGGUGGGAUACUACCCUGGCUGUAUUGAAAUUCUAACCCGCGGCCCUGAUCGGGCCGGGAGACAGUGUCAGGUGGGCAGUUUGACUGGGGCGGUCGCCUCCUAAAAUGUAACGGAGGCGCCCAAAGGUUCCCUCAGAAUGGUUGGAAAUCAUUCGUAGAGUGUAAAGGCACAAGGGAGCUUGACUGCGAGACCUACAAGUCGAGCAGGGACGAAAGUCGGGCUUAGUGAUCCGGUGGUUCCGCAUGGAAGGGCCAUCGCUCAACGGAUAAAAGCUACCCCGGGGAUAACAGGCUUAUCUCCCCCAAGAGUCCACAUCGACGGGGAGGUUUGGCACCUCGAUGUCGGCUCAUCGCAUCCUGGGGCUGUAGUCGGUCCCAAGGGUUGGGCUGUUCGCCCAUUAAAGCGGUACGCGAGCUGGGUUCAGAACGUCGUGAGACAGUUCGGUCCCUAUCCGUCGUGGGCGUAGGAAAUUUGAGAGGAGCUGUCCUUAGUACGAGAGGACCGGGAUGGACACACCGCUGGUGUACCAGUUGUCUUGCCAAAGGCAUCGCUGGGUAGCUAUGUGUGGACGGGAUAAGUGCUGAAAGCAUCUAAGCAUGAAGCCCCCCUCAAGAUGAGAUUUCCCAUAGCGCAAGCUAGUAAGAUCCCUGAAAGAUGAUCAGGUUGAUAGGUCAGAGGUGGAAGCGUGGCGACAUGUGUAGCUGACUGAUACUAAUCGAUCGAGGACUUAACCAAAC
This 2942-nucleotide ribosomal RNA is filed under the name Priestia megaterium. RNAcentral describes it as "Bacillus megaterium 23S ribosomal RNA". It matches the Rfam family "Bacterial large subunit ribosomal RNA". The record is from RNAcentral. Lineage: Bacteria; Bacillati; Bacillota; Bacilli; Caryophanales; Bacillaceae.